Non-coding RNA from Trichonephila clavata, 73 nucleotides. NCBI's taxonomy places the organism in Eukaryota, Metazoa, Arthropoda, Arachnida, Araneae, Nephilidae. The record is from the annotation of a GenBank genome assembly.
GUUCCUGUAGUGCAAUGGAUAGCACUUGGGACUUCUAAUCCAAAGGUCGUGGGCUGGGAUGCCACCUGGGAUG